Haliotis rubra (blacklip abalone) is the source of this 103-nucleotide long non-coding RNA. RefSeq lists it as uncharacterized. The transcript has 3 exons. The record is from RefSeq and is a predicted model, not a curated record. Lineage: Eukaryota; Metazoa; Mollusca; Gastropoda; Lepetellida; Haliotidae.
AUACACCUGGAUAUAGUGCUACAGGUACACACACAUGAUGACAGCAUUGCAUAUUCCUGGAUAUAGUGCUACAGGUACACACACAUGAUGACAGCAUUGCAUA